Molecule: long non-coding RNA, 1323 nt
Filed under: Neogale vison (American mink)
Lineage: Eukaryota; Metazoa; Chordata; Mammalia; Carnivora; Mustelidae
Description: Neovison vison (American mink) lncRNA (ENSNVIG00000007601.1)
Source: RNAcentral
ACACCCCCUCGGGCGCCCGCAGAGUGACCCGGAGCUGGUGCAGUGGAAGAAGGAGCUGCGCGACGCGUACCGCGAGGCGCAGCAGCUGGUGCAGCGCGUGCCCAAGAUGAAGAACAAGCCGCGCUCGCCCGUCGUGGAGCUGAGCAAGGUGCCGCUGGUCCAGCGCGGCAGCGCCAACGGCCUCUGACCCGCCCGCCUUUUAUAAACCUCUAAUUUAUUUUGUCGGAUUUUUAUUAUUUGUUUUCCCGCCAAGCGGAAAAGGUUUUAUUUUGUAAUUAUUGUGAUUUCCUGUGGCCCCAGCCUGGCCCAGCCCCCGGGAGGGGGGCCCCGCUUGCCUUGGCUCCUGCUGCCACCAACCCAGCCACUGUCCAGCCACCCUCAGCCCUGACCCUCGGGGGCCUCCCCUCCCAGUGUCUUCCUGUGGGGGGCGGGGGGUGCGGAGAGCAGCAGCCCCGGCGGCCCUCCCAGCCCUUCCCCGGGGACGUCACCACACCAGGUUGUGCCCCCUCAGGCUCUGGGCUGUGCUCUGAGGGUGGCCCCGCGUCCCCCCUACCCGGGGGAGGCCGCAGCACAGGGGCACUACUUGAAUUUUCCCACCGCAGCCCCUCCUGCGCCAGGGGCACAGUCCUGCACUGUCCCGUCCUCCAGCCGGUUGGUGGAGGAGGGGCCGGUGAUCUCCCUGACCCCAGGGCCUCACCACAGCGACUUGAGUUUGUGUGCCCUUGCCUGGGAAGAAGCCGUGUCCCUGGCUGCCUCCAUCCCCACGGUCUGCGGUCGCUGAGGGGCUUGGUCGGGAGGGUGGGCCUUGGCAGCAGGUUCCGCUGCCCUCCGUGUGGUCCCCCCUUCCUCCCACCCCAAGCGCCCGGGCUCAGGGACCACAGAAAGGCAGCUGUGGGCUGUGGUACACUGGCCUCGCUUGGCCUCGAGGUCCCCUGCCCGCCCCCUCCUGGGUUGGGCCAGGCCUCGUCUGCCCAGGACCAGAGGGGAGCAGCAUGGACAGGCCGGGCAGCACAGCGAGAGGGGCCGGGUGGGGCCAGCCCUCGCCACCCCUGGCCGGUCCGUGUGCUCCCCUCGGGCUGUCUAGCCCCAUCGCCCCAUGUCCCGUCAGUGCCACUGCCCACGGGGCGCCACCCCGCCCGCCGCAUGCCCCCUUGUGCCAGUCACGCUGCCGUAUGUGGUGUCGCGCCCUCUCCCCCUGGGGCUGGGUUGGCGCGCCCUCCCCUCCCAUCUACUCGCUCCCCGGGGCGUUCCUUUGCCGAUUUUUGAAUGUGAUUUUAAAGAGUGGAAAAUGAGACUAUUCGUUUUUAUAAAAAAUGGUGCCUG